RNAcentral lists this ribosomal RNA (423 nucleotides) under uncultured bacterium. RNAcentral's name for it is "bacterial SSU rRNA". It matches the Rfam family "Bacterial small subunit ribosomal RNA", at positions 358 to 773 of the family's 1533-position model. The record is from RNAcentral.
GGAAUAUUGGACAAUGGGGGCAACCCUGAUCCAGCAAUGCCGCGUGUGUGAAGAAGGCCUGCGGGUUGUAAAGCACUUUCGGCAGGGAAGAAAAGCGUAGGGCGAAUAACCCUGCGUCUUGACGUUACCUGCAUAAGAAGCACCGGCUAACUCCGUGCCAGCAGCCGCGGUAAUACGGAGGGUGCAAGCGUUAAUCGGAAUUACUGGGCGUAAAGCGCACGUAGGUGGCUGCUUAAGUCGGAUGUGAAAGCCCCGGGCUCAACCUGGGAAUUGCAUUCGAUACUGGGUAGCUAGAGUUCGGAAGAGGGAAGUGGAAUUCCAGGUGUAGCGGUGAAAUGCGUAGAUAUCUGGAGGAACAUCAGUGGCGAAGGCGACUUCCUGGUCCGAAACUGACACUGAGGUGCGAAAGCGUGGGUAGCAAAC